RNAcentral lists this ribosomal RNA (551 nucleotides) under uncultured bacterium. RNAcentral's name for it is "partial 16S ribosomal RNA". It matches the Rfam family "Bacterial small subunit ribosomal RNA", at positions 358 to 900 of the family's 1533-position model. The record is from RNAcentral.
GGAAUCUUCCACAAUGGACGCAAGUCUGAUGGAGCAACGCCGCGUGAGUGAAGAAGGUCUUCGGAUCGUAAAGCUCUGUUGUUGGUGAAGGAGGAUAGAGGCAGUAACUGGUCUUUAUUUGACGGUAAUCACCCAGAAAGUCACGGCUAACUACGUGCCAGCAGCCGCGGUAAUACGUAGGUGGCAAGCGUUGUCCGGAUUUAUUGGGCGUAAAGCGAGCGCAGGCGGAAUGAUAAGUCUGAUGUGAAAGCCCACGGCUCAACCGUGGAACUGCAUCGGAAACUGUCAUUCUUGAGUGCAGAAGAGGAGAGUGGAACUCCAUGUGUAGCGGUGGAAUGCGUAGAUAUAUGGAAGAACACCAGUGGCGAAGGCGGCUCUCUGGUCUGCAACUGACGCUGAGGCUCGAAAGCAUGGGUAGCGAACAGGAUUAGAUACCCUGGUAGUCCAUGCCGUAAACGAUGAGCGCUAGGUGUUGGGGACUUUCCGGUCCUCAGUGCCGCAGCAAACGCAUUAAGCGCUCCGCCUGGGGAGUACGACCGCAAGGUUGAAAC